UAGGGAAUCUUCCACAAUGGGCGAAAGCCUGAUGGAGCAACGCCGCGUGUGUGAUGAAGGGUUUCGGCUCGUAAAACACUGUUGUAAGAGAAGAAUGACAUUGAGAGUAACUGUUCAAUGUGUGACGGUAUCUUACCAGAAAGGGCGGCUAACUACGUGCUAG
This 163-nucleotide ribosomal RNA is filed under the name uncultured bacterium. RNAcentral describes it as "partial 16S rRNA". It matches the Rfam family "Bacterial small subunit ribosomal RNA", at positions 355 to 511 of the family's 1533-position model. The record is from RNAcentral.